UAGACUGACUUAGACUUAGGAGAGG
RNAcentral lists this non-coding RNA (25 nucleotides) under Cricetulus griseus (Chinese hamster). The record is from RNAcentral. Lineage: Eukaryota; Metazoa; Chordata; Mammalia; Rodentia; Cricetidae.